CAGCAGCCGCGGUAAUACGAAGGGGGCUAGCGUUAUUCGGAUUUACUGGGCGUAAAGGGCGCGUAGGCGGACUGAUAAGUCAGGGGUGAAAUCCCAAGGCUCAACCUUGAACUGCCUUUGAUACUGUUUGUCUUGAGUUCGAGAGAGGUAAGUGGAACUGCGAGUGUAGAGGUGAAAUUCGUAGAUAUUCGCAAGAACACCAGUGGCGAAGGCGGCUUACUGGCUCGAAACUGACGCUGAGGCGCGAAAGCGUGGGGAGCAAACAGGAUUAGAUACCCGUGUAGUCCCUGUCUCUUAUACA
RNAcentral lists this ribosomal RNA (301 nucleotides) under uncultured bacterium. RNAcentral describes it as "partial 16S ribosomal RNA". It matches the Rfam family "Bacterial small subunit ribosomal RNA", at positions 509 to 808 of the family's 1533-position model. The record is from RNAcentral.